This 468-nucleotide ribosomal RNA is filed under the name uncultured bacterium. RNAcentral's name for it is "partial 16S ribosomal RNA". It matches the Rfam family "Bacterial small subunit ribosomal RNA", at positions 28 to 507 of the family's 1533-position model. The record is from RNAcentral.
GACGAACGCUGGCGGCGUGCUUAGCACAUGCAAGUCGAACGGAAAGGCCCUGCUUUUGUGGGGUGCUCGAGUCGCGAACGGGUGAGUAACACGUGAGUAACCUGCCCUUGACUUUGGGAUAACUUCAGGAAACUGGGGCUAAUACCGGAUAGGAGCUCCUGCUGCAUGGUGGGGGUUGGAAAGUUUCGGCGGUUGGGGAUGGACUCGCGGCUUAUCAGCUUGUUGGUGGGGUAGUGGCUUACCAAGGCUUUGACGGGUAGCCGGCCUGAGAGGGUGACCGGCCACAUUGGGACUGAGAUACGGCCCAGACUCCUACGGGAGGCAGCAGUGGGGAAUAUUGCACAAUGGGCGGAAGCCUGAUGCAGCAACGCCGCGUGCGGGAUGACGGCCUUCGGGUUGUAAACCGCUUUCGCCUGUGACGAAGCGUGAGUGACGGUAAUGGGUAAAGAAGCACCGGCUAACUACGUG